AUUGAACGCUGGCGGCAGGCCUAACACAUGCAAGUCGAGCGGAGCGGCGGCCGGGUGCGUAAUGCUUAGGAAUCUGCCUGGUAGUGGGGGAUAAAGUCCGGAAACGGGCGAUAAUACCGCAUACUAUCAGAUGACCCUAGGUCGGAUUAGCUAGUGGGUGGGGUAAAGGCCUACCAAGGCGACGCGCAGUACCUGGUCUGAGAGGAUGAUCAGUCACAUGGGAACGGAGACACGGCCCAGACUCCUACGGGAGGAAGCAGUGGGGAAGAGUGGACAAUGGGCGAAAGCCGGAUCCAGCCAUGCCGCGUGGGUGAAGAAGGUCUGCGGAUUGUAAAGCACUUUAAGUUGGGAGGCGGUACCAACAGAAUAAGCACCGGCUAACUUCGUGCCAGCAGCCGCGGUAAUAC
RNAcentral lists this ribosomal RNA (407 nucleotides) under uncultured bacterium. RNAcentral describes it as "partial 16S ribosomal RNA". It matches the Rfam family "Bacterial small subunit ribosomal RNA", at positions 29 to 526 of the family's 1533-position model. The record is from RNAcentral.